Molecule: long non-coding RNA, 1088 nt
Organism: Lagopus muta (rock ptarmigan)
Lineage: Eukaryota; Metazoa; Chordata; Aves; Galliformes; Phasianidae
Exons: 4
Source: RefSeq, a predicted model, not a curated record
CCGGAGCUGCAUCCCCUGGGGAGGAGCCGUAGUAGGGCAGGAAGCACUGCUGCCCGUGGAGCAGUGGGCUUCGUGAAAGGGAGCCAUAUUGAAGCAGUGCUCGAGGAGCUGCGCCCUUGGGAAGCCGAUACAGAGAUGAAAAAUUAUUCUAAUUAUACGUGAAGAAGUAUGAAGCUGCUGGAGCAGGCAGUCAGGACACUGGUGUAUCUGCAUAGGACUGUUCUGUAUACUGCAAAAAUGUAAGUUUUCCUGUAGAGGCCAUGGUGUUAACCUGAAGGCUGCUAUGAUGUCUCCCUGGUACCUUCUGCAGGCUGAACAACUGCAGCACUCAGCCUUUAUGGGAGAAGUUCUCCAGCCUCUGAUCAUCCUCGUGGCCCUCUUCUGGACUUGCUCCAAUAAGUCCAUUCUUAUGUUGGAGAUCCCAGAGCUAAAUGUAGUGCUACAGAUGGGAUUCCAUGAAUUUUAAGGGCACUUCACUUUAAGAGCAGCAGUAACGGCGACAGGAACAGCAGAAGCAGCAGCAGCAGGGAUGCUGCCUGUGUAGCUAUGAGAAGUAUUUCAGUAAUGAAAGGGAUAAUUGUGGCUCCCUGCCUCUGUUGUAAUUGAAAAUCUAGUAUAGUGCCUUUUCCAUUUAACUUUAUUGCUUGAGUUGAAAUCAUUGUAGAGGAGGGAAAGCAACAGUAGAAUAAUGUCUCUAAUGUUGCUUUCCUGUCCAUUCACCAGUUUGAAACCUAACAUCAAUGUUAAAAGGAUGAGCAAUUGGAUAUAUUCAAUUAUUCAAUAGGAAAAGAACUAUGAUUAUAAAUUUUGGUAAUAAAAAAGUAUUACUUACUGGGCUGGCCAAAUAUUUACUUACUAAUUCUGGCUACCAGAUUUCACUGAUGAGGUAGAAAACAAGUAACAUGUUACUACAGUGGUUCAGGUAAUUUAUGCUGAAUUACAAUGGAGAACUAUGUCACUAUUGUAAUUGCAAUACAUGAAAAAAGAUGGCUAAAGCUGUUCUAUCAACUGACGAAGGACAACCUUAAAUUUGCAAAAUGCUAAAUAUUUUUGCUUCCCAUAGUCUUAAUUAAUAAGGGCAUGCAGUG